GAAUCAGCAUCCAAUAUAUGGUACUGCUUCUCCCAUAGCCAGGAUUCACAGGUCCAGGAAUCAAGGGGUGGAAAGUGGAAGUGGCACCACUAACCAUCACCCUUAGUGACCCACUAGCAAAAUUUUUGCUUCCUGUUCCCAUGACAUUACAUUCUGAGAUCUUAGUCCCAGAGGGAGGAACGUUGCCACCAGGAGACACAACACAAUUCCAUUAAACUGGAAGUUAAGAUUGUCACUUGCACACUUUGGGCUCCUCCUACCUUUAAGUCAACAAGCUAAGAAGGGAGUUACAGUGUUGCUUGGGCUGAUUGACCCAGAAUAUCAAGAUGAAGUCAGUCUACUACUACUCCACAAUGGAGCAUUUAGCAUUUAGCUCAUGAGCCAGCACAGCUGUUGGAGCUCCAGCCAUCACAUCUGACAACUGGAAGUAGAAAGAGAGAACACCCACCCUCUCACUUUAAGGACACUUCUUGGAAGCUACUCACAACGUAUCUGCUACACGCUAAUAACCAGAACUCUGUCACCUAAUUGAACAGGAAUGGAAAGCAGGUCAGAAAACACAGUCUUUACUGCAUGGGUGCUCAAAUGAAAGAGAAAAGUUUAAAAAGCAACAUUUGUUAGAAGACAUAAUGAUGCACGUUUCUGCUCAACUGGGAGUACUUUGUCUGCUGGGGCCAAGGUCUGGGAGGCCCCCUGCAGAAGGUCAUGAUGCCCUCAGUCUUUACACUUGAACUCUGGGACACUCUAGUUACCUGGAGAAGAGGUGGCGCUAUUUUCUAACAUGGAGACAGACACAACACAAACAAACAUAUAAAAGCUAAAAUCUGAAAAAGCAAGUAAAUAAGCAUGAUAAUUACCAAUUUAUGCAAUAAAGGAUAUAGACAAGGUGACAUCAGAAAGAGUAAUUUGGAGGUGGUGCUAUUUAAGAUAAGAUCAUCAGGGAGGCCCUCCCGGAGACGGGGACAUUUGAGCUGAGAUGCAAAAGAUGGUAGACACACAAAGAGCAGAGAAGGGUAUGCCAGGAAGAGGGAGCAAGCCAAGACCCUCCAGCUAGUGGAGAGUUGGGGCCUGCAGGAACUGAAAGGCAGGAGGGCAGAAGGGCAGAGGUGCAGGAGGGCAGAAGGGCAGAGGUGCAAGCAGGGGCCACCUCCUGGAUGAGUUUAGGGACCAUGGUGAAGCCAAGUUAAAAGACAGACGUUAUAGAAAUAUGAUUGGACAAAGCAGGAUUUAAAAUGCUGUUUAAACAAUGCUAUUUUCUGUUGUGUCUGCUGUAUUCUAUAUUACAUUGCAUUUAACUAUAAAGAUAUUUUAGAGAGCAGGGGAGUGGAGGAGCCAAGAUGGCCGAAUAGGAACAGCUCCGGUCUACAGCUCCCAGCGUGAGCGACGCAGAAGACGGGUGAUUUCUGCAUUUCCAUCUGAGGUACUGGGUUCAUCUCACUAGGGAGUGCCAGACAGUGGGCGCAGGUCAGUGGGUGCGCACACCGUGCGCAAGCCGAAGCAGGGCGAGGCAUUGCCUCACUUGGGAAGCCCAAGGGGUCAGGGAGUUCCCUUUCCGAGUCAAAGAAAGGGGUGACGGACUCACCUGGAAAAUUGGGUCACUCCCACCCGAAUAUUGCGCUUUUCGGACCGGCUUAAAAAAAUGGCACACCACGAGAUUAUAUCCCGCACCUGGCUCGGAGGGUCCUACCCCCACGGAGUCUCGCUGGUUGCUAGCACAGCAGUCUGAGAUCAAACUGCAAGGCGGCAGAGAGGCUGGGGGAGGGGCGCCCGCCAUUGCCCAGGCUUGCUUAGGUAAACAAAGCAGCCAGGAAGCUCGAACUGGGUGGAGCCCACCACAGCUCAAGGAGGCCUGCCUGCCUCUGUAGGCUCCACCUCUGGGGGCAGGGCACAGACAAACAAAAAGACAGCAGUAACCUCUGCAGACUUAAAUGUCCCUGUCUGACAGCUUUGAAGAGAGCAGUGGUUCUCCCAGCACGCAGCUGGAGAUCUGAGAACGGGCAGACUGCCUCUUCAAGUAGGUCCCUGACCCCUGACCCCCGAGCAGCCUAACUGGGAGGCACCCCCCAGCAGGGGCACACUGACACCUCACACUGCAGGGUAUUCCAACAGACCUGCAGCUGAGGGUCCUGUCUGUUAGAAGGAAAACGAACAAACAGAAAGGACAUCCACACAAAAAACCCAUCUGUACAUCACCAUCAUCAAAGACCAAAAGUAGAUAAAACCACAAAGAUGGGGGAAAAAACAGAACAGAAAAACGGGAAACUCUAAAACGCAGAGCACUUCUCCUCCUCCAAAGGAACACAAGUUCCUCACCAGCAACGAAACAAAGCUGGAUGGAGAAUGACUUUGACGAGCUGAGAGAAGAAGGCUUCAGAUGAUCAAAUUACUCUGAGCUACGGGAGGACAUUCAAACCAAAGGCAAAGAAGUUGAAAACUUUGAAAACAAUUUAGAAGAAUGUAUAACUAGAAUAACCAAUACAGAGAAGUGCUUAAAGGAGCUGAUGGAGCUGAAAACCAAGGCUUGAGAACUACGUGAAGAAUGCAGAAGCCUCAGGAGCCGAUGCGAUCAACUGGAAGAAAGGGUAUCAGCAAUGGAAGAUGAAAUGAAUGAAACUAAGCGGCAAGGGAAGUCUAGAG
Pan troglodytes (chimpanzee) is the source of this 2637-nucleotide long non-coding RNA. RefSeq lists it as uncharacterized. Lineage: Eukaryota; Metazoa; Chordata; Mammalia; Primates; Hominidae. The transcript has 4 exons. The record is from RefSeq and is a predicted model, not a curated record.